GGGAAAGGUUCCAUGUGA
RNAcentral lists this small RNA (18 nucleotides) under Arabidopsis thaliana (thale cress). RNAcentral's name for it is "AGO1_4919". Lineage: Eukaryota; Viridiplantae; Streptophyta; Magnoliopsida; Brassicales; Brassicaceae. The record is from RNAcentral.